Molecule: long non-coding RNA, 1200 nt
Filed under: Bos indicus x Bos taurus (hybrid cattle)
Lineage: Eukaryota; Metazoa; Chordata; Mammalia; Artiodactyla; Bovidae
Description: lncRNA (ENSBIXG00005012966.1)
Source: RNAcentral
CCCAGGCAAGAAUACUGGAGUGGCUUGCCAUUUCAGGGAAUCUUUCUGACCUGUGUCUCCUGCAUUGGCAGGGCAUUGCAGGCAGAUUUUUUUUAACUCUAAGCCAUCUGGGAAAAGUUUGUCUGGAAGGUUCUAAAUGCAACCUGUGAACAGCUGACUGAAGGAGACACUGUUGGAGUCACAGAUGAUGCCUGUCAACAUGGAAGGAUGACCAUGGCAAGAAGAUAGAAUCUAAAGAAGCCGGCCUUUGGGUUACAUAUGUAUAAGCAUAUUCUCCGAUGAACUUCCCAGAUUGAAGCUGAUCAAAUGACUCAUUAACAGAAAACCACGUGAGAUACCAACACAUCACAAGAGCUUCUUAACAACGACGAACCAUUAAUACCUACUCCACCAGCAUUAGAUCCUGGAGGUUGAAGACCCCUGCGUUAGACCUCAUUUCUUUCAUUUGGCAAUUAUCCCUCCAAUCGAUAUUUAUUACCUCUGCUGCUGCUGCUAAGUCGCUUCAGUCGUGUCCGACUCUGUGCAACCCCAUAGACGGCAGCCCACCAGGAUCCUCCGUCCCUGGGAUUCUCCAGGCAAGAACACGGAGUGGGUUGCCAUUUCCUUCUCCCUUAUUACCUCUAACCGCAGCUAAACAUCCUUGAAAAAGUAUUCCUUAUUUAUUCAGUGUUGCCCUAUUUUACAUAUUUAAAAUAUCCAUAUUCCAUACACGGUAUGGAGUUAUGCAAAACUUUCUCUGUACAGACAACCAAACAAACACCUCAAGGCACACAAGCCACAAAAUGGAAGUCUGCAAUGUAUAGAGGAUGAAAUGGACUUCAGGGGAGCAACUGUUUUUUAGCAAUGGUGCUAAUAGCUCAAAAGCGAUCAUGUUGGAGAUAUUAAAAAAGUAAAACACUGCCAGAGGCUGUGGACAAUGUGGAUUAAGACACACAUAGGAAAUCUCAAUACCGUGCUAGAGAUGAGAACGUGACAGCUAGGUUACCAUGGAGACAGAGCAAAGACACCAGCUACUAAUCUGAAUACCAAUUAACAGCUAGCACUUCUUUAUGUUACUAAAAUUCGUUGUCAGGGCAACACACAGGAUUGGCUCACAUUAUCAAAUGAAUAACAAACUGAAUCCAAAAAGUCAGAUUCUUUAAGAUCCAUAAAAUUCUAAAGAAACUAUUUAUAGAGAUUCAUGCAGCUUUCAGGAUAGUA